Long non-coding RNA from Folsomia candida, 846 nucleotides. RefSeq lists it as uncharacterized. The record is from RefSeq and is a predicted model, not a curated record. NCBI's taxonomy places the organism in Eukaryota, Metazoa, Arthropoda, Collembola, Entomobryomorpha, Isotomidae. The transcript is spliced from 2 exons.
GUUUGUGCGGAAGAAUGAAGGAUUCACUCAGGGUUUCGUGACUUUGGCAGAUAAGGUUAACUUUUAUACCUCGUUUGUGGCGUGUGACAUGAAGACGAAUGGGAUAAAAAGUGGAGGGCAAUAAAGUGAAGCAAAUUUGGGAGACUUUUCUACACUGUUUGGUUCACAUUCCCCUCGUUCUGCUUAAAAAGAAACCGACCUUUAUGAGAUCCUCGUCAACAAAUAUUUGCUCAACUUUUGUUUGCACUCCUUUCUUGCAAAUCAUGCAAUUCUUUCAACUAUGUAGAUGUUAUCUUAUGAAGCGAUGGUGAAGCUUCAAAAAACUAGCUAUAGAGAGCUUUGGACAAUGUUCGUAAUUGGCGUUUAUACAUAUUUUACAGCAUGCAAUACAAUGUGAGCACGGACAUGCGUUUGAAGUUUUUUGACAAGAAUAUAAAUUGUACACUUUUUAUACGUAUUUCUAUAUAUUCGGCAUAAAAUAGGAAUUUCCUGGCGAUUCUAACUUGUGUGACACUAUAAUACAAGUAUUUGUGUAGACUAUGGCUCAAAUUGAGCAUAGUUUGAAAGAAGUAUGCACUAUGCAUACCUCUCAGGUCUAUGUACUAACCUGAGUGAGAGCAAUGAGUAAGAUACAAAAUGUAAUUAGUGAGGUUGUAUGAAUGUCUAUAAAAAUAAGCCAUAGUUUUGUACAUGUACAUUUUAAAAAGUUAAUUUUAGAGAUUAUUCGCUACCGUCGGGUGUUUGAGGAGGAUUAAACUAUUAUUAUGUUAUAGAUAAUGAAUGACGAUGAUGGGUCAAAUUAUUUAAUAAAGUUCGAUCUUAAAAAUUAUCAUGGUAUAAAAAAUA